This 497-nucleotide ribosomal RNA is filed under the name uncultured bacterium. RNAcentral's name for it is "partial 16S ribosomal RNA". It matches the Rfam family "Bacterial small subunit ribosomal RNA", at positions 28 to 507 of the family's 1533-position model. The record is from RNAcentral.
GAUGAACGCUGGCGGCGUGCCUAAUACAUGCAAGUCGAGCGAACAGAUAAGGAUCUUGCUCCUUUGACGUUAGCGGCGGACGGGUGAGUAACACGUGGGUAACCUACCUAUAAGACUGGGAUAACUUCGGGAAACCGGAGCUAAUACCGGAUAAUAUUUCGAACCGCAUGGUUCGAUAGUGGAAGAUGGUUUUGCUCUCACUUAUAGAUGGACCCGCGCCGUAUUAGCUAGUUGGUAAGGUAACGGCUUACCAAGGCGACGAUACGUAGCCGACCUGAGAGGGUGAUCGGCCACACUGGAACUGAGACACGGUCCAGACUCCUACGGGAGGCAGCAGUAGGGAAUCUUCCGCAAUGGGCGAAAGCCUGACGGAGCAACGCCGCGUGAGUGAGGAAGGUCUUCGGAUCGUAAAACUCUGUUAUUAGGGAAGAACAUACGUGUAAGUAACUGUGAACGUCUUGACGGUACCUAAUCAGAAAGCCACGGCUAACUACGUG